GACGAACGCUGGCGGCGUGCUUAACACAUGCAAGUCGAACGCUGAAGCUCAGCUUGCUGGGUGGAUGAGUGGCGAACGGGUGAGUAACACGUGAGUAACCUGCCCUCUUCUUUGGGAUAACGCCCGGAAACGGGUGCUAAUACUGGAUAUUCACUGAUUCUCGCAUGGGGGUUGGUGGAAAGGUUUUUUCUGGUGGGGGAUGGGCUCGCGGCCUAUCAGCUUGUUGGUGGGGUGAUGGCCUACCAAGGCUUUGACGGGUAGCCGGCCUGAGAGGGUGACCGGUCACAUUGGGACUGGGAUACGGCCCAGACUCCUACGGGAGGCAGCAGUGGGGAAUAUUGCACAAUGGGCGAAAGCCUGAUGCAGCGACGAGGCGUGAGGGAUGGAGGCCUUCGGGUUGUAAACCUCUUUCGCUCAUGGUCAAGCCGCAGCGUUGGGUUGUGGUGAGGGUAGUGGGUAAAGAAGCGCCGGCUAACUACGUG
RNAcentral lists this ribosomal RNA (482 nucleotides) under uncultured bacterium. RNAcentral describes it as "partial 16S ribosomal RNA". It matches the Rfam family "Bacterial small subunit ribosomal RNA", at positions 28 to 507 of the family's 1533-position model. The record is from RNAcentral.